This 253-nucleotide ribosomal RNA is filed under the name uncultured bacterium. RNAcentral describes it as "partial 16S ribosomal RNA". It matches the Rfam family "Bacterial small subunit ribosomal RNA", at positions 524 to 776 of the family's 1533-position model. The record is from RNAcentral.
UACAGAGGUGGCAAGCGUUGUUCGGAAUUACUGGGCGUAAAGGGCGCGUAGGCGGUUCGUCAAGUCCUGUGUGAAAUCCCCCGGCUCAACUGGGGAACUGCACAGGAAACUAGCGGGCUUGAGUUCGGGAGAGGGAAGCGGAAUUCCGGGUGUAGCGGUGAAAUGCGUAGAGAUCGGAAAGAAUACCAACGGCGAAAGCACUCUGCUGGGCCGACACUGACACUGAGACGCGAAAGCGUGGGGAGCGAACAGG